GGUAACCCCUGGUGAAAUGGAUAGUACGCUGGACUUUGAAUCCAGUGAUCCGAGUUCAAUCUCGGUGGAACCU
Molecule: non-coding RNA, 73 nt
Organism: Nephila pilipes (giant wood spider)
Lineage: Eukaryota; Metazoa; Arthropoda; Arachnida; Araneae; Nephilidae
Source: the annotation of a GenBank genome assembly